UGGGGAAUAUUGCACAAUGGGCGCAAGCCUGAUGCAGCCAUGCCGCGUGUGUGAAGAAGGCCUUCGGGUUGUAAAGCACUUUCAGCGGGGAGGAAGGCGAUAAGGUUAAUAACCUUGUCGAUUGACGUUACCCGCAGAAGAAGCACCGGCUAACUCCGUGCCGGCAGCCGCGGUAAUACGGAGGGUGCAAGCGUUAAUCGGAAUUACUGGGCGUAAAGCGCACGCAGGCGGUUUGUUAAGUCAGAUGUGAAAUCCCCGGGCUCAACCUGGGAACUGCAUCUGAUACUGGCAAGCUUGAGUCUCGUAGAGGGGGGUAGAAUUCCAGGUGUAGCGGUGAAAUGCGUAGAGAUCUGGAGGAAUACCGGUGGCGAAGGCGGCCCCCUGGACGAAGACUGACGCUCAGGUGCGAAAGCGUGGGGAGCAAACAGG
RNAcentral lists this ribosomal RNA (429 nucleotides) under Chloroflexota bacterium. RNAcentral describes it as "Chloroflexi bacterium partial 16S ribosomal RNA". It matches the Rfam family "Bacterial small subunit ribosomal RNA", at positions 355 to 776 of the family's 1533-position model. Lineage: Bacteria; Bacillati; Chloroflexota. The record is from RNAcentral.